Molecule: ribosomal RNA, 253 nt
Filed under: uncultured bacterium
Lineage: Bacteria
Description: partial 16S ribosomal RNA
Rfam family: Bacterial small subunit ribosomal RNA
Source: RNAcentral
UACGUAGGGACCAAGCGUUGUUCGGAUUUACUGGGCGUAAGGGGCGCGUAGGCGGCGCGGUAAGUCACUUGUGAAAUCUCUGAGCUUAACUCAGAACGGCCAAGUGAUACUGCAGUGCUAGAGUGUGGAAGGGGCAAUCGGAAUUCUUGGUGUAGCGGUGAAAUGCGUAGAUAUCAAGAGGAACACCUGAGGUGAAGACGGGUUGCUGGGCCAACACUGACGCUGAGGCGCGAAAGCCAGGGGAGCAAACGGG